CCUACGGGAGGCAGCAGUGGGGAAUAUUGGACAAUGGGCGAAAGCCUGAUCCAGCAAUGCCGCGUGAGUGAUGAAGGCCUUAGGGUUGUAAAGCUCUUUUACCAGGGAUGAUAAUGACAGUACCUGGAGAAUAAGCUCCGGCUAACUCCGUGCCAGCAGCCGCGGUAAUACGGAGGGAGCUAGCGUUGUUCGGAAUUACUGGGCGUAAAGCGUACGUAGGCGGUUAUUCAAGUCAGAGGUGAAAGCCCGGGGCUCAACCCCGGAACUGCCUUUGAAACUAGAUAGCUAGAAUCUUGGAGAGGUUAGUGGAAUUCCGAGUGUAGAGGUGAAAUUCGUAGAUAUUCGGAAGAACACCAGUGGCGAAGGCGACUAACUGGACAAGUAUUGACGCUGAGGUACGAAAGCGUGGGGAGCAAACAGGAUUAGAUACCCUGGUAGUCCACGCCGUAAACGAUGAUAACUAGUUGUUCGGGCACUUGGUGCCUGAGUGACGCAGCUAACGCAUUAAGUUAUCCGCCUGGGGAGUACGGUCGCAAGAUUAAAACUUAAAUGAAUUGACGG
This 561-nucleotide ribosomal RNA is filed under the name uncultured bacterium. RNAcentral's name for it is "bacterial SSU rRNA". It matches the Rfam family "Bacterial small subunit ribosomal RNA", at positions 338 to 916 of the family's 1533-position model. The record is from RNAcentral.